GAUGAAGAACGCAGCGAAAUGCGAUAAGUAAUGUGAAUUGCAGAAUUCAGUGAAUCAUCGAAUCUUUGAACGCACAUUGCGCCCGCCAGUAUUCUGGCGGGCAUGCCUGUUCGAGCGUCAUUUUAACCAUCAAGCCCCCGGCUUGUGUUGGGGACCUGCGGCUGCCGCAGGCCCUGAAAACCAGUGGCGGGCUCGCUAGUCACUCCGAGCGUAGUAAUACAUCUCGCUCAGGGCGUGCUGCGGGUUCCGGCCGUUAAAAAGCCUUAUUUACCCAAGGUUGACCUCGGAUCAGGUAGGAAGACCCGCUGAACUUAAGCAUAUCAAUAAGCGGAGGA
RNAcentral lists this unclassified non-coding RNA (335 nucleotides) under soil metagenome. Its description in RNAcentral is "partial contains 5.8S ribosomal RNA, internal transcribed spacer 2, and large subunit ribosomal RNA". The stretch from base 1 to 120 matches the Rfam family "5.8S ribosomal RNA", at positions 35 to 154 of the family's 154-position model. The record is from RNAcentral.